CCUUCCUACGGGAGGCAGCAGUAAGGAAUAUUGGUCAAUGGGGGCAACCCUGAACCAGCCAUGCCGCGUGCAGGAAGACGGCCCUACGGGUUGUAAACUGCUUUUAUACCGGAAUAAACCUCUUUACGUGUAAAGAGUUGAAUGUACGGUAAGAAUAAGGAUCGGCUAACUCCGUGCCAGCAGCCGCGGUAAUAAGGGCGAUCCC
This 205-nucleotide ribosomal RNA is filed under the name uncultured bacterium. RNAcentral's name for it is "partial 16S ribosomal RNA". It matches the Rfam family "Bacterial small subunit ribosomal RNA", at positions 334 to 535 of the family's 1533-position model. The record is from RNAcentral.